This 254-nucleotide ribosomal RNA is filed under the name uncultured bacterium. RNAcentral's name for it is "partial 16S ribosomal RNA". It matches the Rfam family "Bacterial small subunit ribosomal RNA", at positions 527 to 779 of the family's 1533-position model. The record is from RNAcentral.
CGGAGGAGCUAGCGUUAUUCGGAAUUACUGGGCGUAAAGCGCACGUAGGCGGCUUUGUAAGUAAGAGGUGAAAGCCCAGAGCUCAACUCUGGAAUUGCCUUUUAGACUGCAUCGCUUGAAUCAUGGAGAGGUCAGUGGAAUUCCGAGUGUAGAGGUUGAAAUUCGUAGAUAUUCGGAAGAACACCAGUGGCGUAAGGCGGCUGGACUGGACAUGUAUUGACGCUGAGUGCGAAAGCGUGGGAGCAAACAGGAUU